UUUUCAUUGACAUCCAUUUCUUUUGUCUUCUUCCCAAGGUCAUCCAUCUGUGCUUCCGACCCCUUAUCCGGCAGCAGCACUUCCACUGAGUAGCUAACCUUCUUGGAAUGGAUGAUGCUGGUUCUUUUGAAGACUCUUAUCCUGGCAUUACAUGCAGGCUUCAGUUCUUUGCGGGAAUGGGACCCGUUCUUGGGGUUCCACGACUGGCCGUUAUUUGACAUGCCAUGUUUGGCCUGGAAACCUAAGAUCUCGGGGCUCUGGAGACGGGCAGAUCGAGGGUUGGUGUCACGGCAGGAGACUUAUGUGUCAUGAGGGAGGCCAGAAGAUCUUUCGCUGUGGGCCCAAAGACCCAAGGUCUUUGCGAUCUUUGGACACAGAGCUCAAAAAAGUGACAAAACAGACUUUUAACAUCGUAAGCCAGUGGGUUGUUGUUAUGUCUCCCACUCGCUCUGAAAAUGGGGGGACACCUCCCUCUCCCUUAUUAGGGAGAGAGAGAGAACCUGUGGUUUGUCGAAUUUUGGAAGAAAUGCAAAGCCUUUGGGGUGACUUUGGUCUGUGUCUUUGCUAUUGCUUAGCACACGUUUGGUCUCGGUGAUGGUACCGAUGCACUUUUUUUUGCCGUUGGGGGGAGGGGGAAUCGUUGCUUGCAGCUGCUUAUGCGCGGAAGGGGGAAUCUUGGGAGGGACUUUGGGGUUCUCACGUUUAACUGUUUUUCAUUCUUUGGAGCACUUCUCUGUUUUUGUGAAUGUUUGCGAAGAAAACAUUUCAGGAUGUAUAUUGUAUACAUUUCUCUGUCAUUAAAUUGGACCUUUGAAACUUU
Molecule: long non-coding RNA, 820 nt
Organism: Hypanus sabinus (Atlantic stingray)
Lineage: Eukaryota; Metazoa; Chordata; Chondrichthyes; Myliobatiformes; Dasyatidae
Exons: 2
Source: RefSeq, a predicted model, not a curated record